This 416-nucleotide ribosomal RNA is filed under the name uncultured bacterium. RNAcentral's name for it is "bacterial SSU rRNA". It matches the Rfam family "Bacterial small subunit ribosomal RNA", at positions 28 to 440 of the family's 1533-position model. The record is from RNAcentral.
GACGAACGUUGGCGGCGUGCUUAAUACAUGCAAGUCAACUGAAGCACCGGUAGUAAUACUGGUGUGGAGGUGGCGCACGGGUGAGUAACACGUAGGUAAUCUGCCUUCAGGUCUGACAUAACCCCGAGAAAUCGGGCUAAUAGCAGAUGAUGCAGCGGCUUGACAUCAAAGACAGUUGUUAAAGCUUCGGCGCCUGAAGAUGAGCCUGCGUCUGAUUAGCUAGUUGGCGGAGUAAUAGCCCACCAAGGCGACGAUCAGUAGCUGGUCUGAGAGGAUGAUCAGCCACACUGGAACUGAGACACGGUCCAGACUCCUACGGGAGGCAGCAGUAAGGAAUAUUGCUCAAUGGGAGAAAUCCUGAAGCAGCAACGCCGCGUGAGGGAUGAAGGGCGUUUUGCUCGUAAACCUCUGUAGUG